CGAACGGUAACAUUUCUAGCUUGCUAGAAGAUGACGAGUGGCGGACGGGUAAGUAAUGCUUGGGAACUUGCCUUUGCGAGGGGGAUAACAGUUGGAAACGACUGCUAAUACCGCAUAAUGUUCUACGGACUCGGUCCGAAGGACCAAACGGGGCUUCGGCUCCGGCGCAAAGAGAGGCCCAAGUGAGAUUAGCUAGUUGGUAAGGUAACGGCUUACCAAGGCGACGAUCUCUAGCUGUUCUGAGAGGAAGAUCAGCCACACUGGGACUGAGACACGGCCCAGACUCCUACGGGAGGCAGCAGUGGGGAAUAUUGCACAAUGGGGGAAACCCUGAUGCAGCCAUGCCGCGUGUGUGAAGAAGGCCUUCGGGUUGUAAAGCACUUUCAGUUGUGAGGAAAAGUUAGUAGUUAAUACCUGCUAGCCGUGACGUUAACAACAGAAGAAGCACCGGCUAACUCCGUGCCAGCAGCCGCGGUAAUACGGAGGGUGCGAGCGUUAAUCGGAAUUACUGGGCGUAAAGCGCACGCAGGCGGUUUGUUAAGCUAGAUGUGAAAGCCCCGGGCUCAACCUGGGAUGGUCAUUUAGAACUGGCAGACUAGAGUCUUGGAGAGGGGAGUGGAAUUCCAGGUGUAGCGGUGAAAUGCGUAGAUAUCUGGAGGAACAUCAGUGGCGAAGGCGACUCCCUGGCCAAAGACUGACGCUCAUGUGCGAAAGUGUGGGUAGCGAACAGGAUUAGAUACCCUGGUAGUCCACACCGUAAACGCUGUCUACUAGCUGUGU
Molecule: ribosomal RNA, 780 nt
Filed under: uncultured bacterium
Lineage: Bacteria
Description: bacterial SSU rRNA
Rfam family: Bacterial small subunit ribosomal RNA
Source: RNAcentral